ACAUUAUACUAUAUACCAGUAUCUCCAUUUGAAUGUCCUGGACCCAAGAAAAGAACUGGAACAUUUUGCUCCGUGUACAGCAACUUCAAAGUUGCUCUAUCCUGCCCACAGUCUGCACUGCUGGAGCUUCAGCUGAAUGUGAGUUGCUGAGCCGUCCAGAUUGAUCUGAAACAAUAUGUCCAUCCAGCAGCAUCUAGGCUACAUCAUCAGCAUCACUGUCCACACACAGGGAUGGCAGAUACAUUUGAGAGUUAUGGCUCCAACUGGAUAUGCAAUAGAGGAUUGCCUAUUGGGAAUCACUUGGAGGGGAGCAUUCUUGAGAACAGUUUAUGGGAGAAGUGGUCACCUGUUUCAAGCUCCUGACACCUUGACUUCCUGGCUUUAUGGUCUGUGCCCUUCAAUUGUGAACCAUAAGUCCUUUCUCCCGAGAAGUUCACUUUCCCCACGCUCGACUUCUGCCUGAUGGACCAACACUAGAUCUCCACAUCAGUUGGGCAUCAUUAAAAAGAAAAGGCUCCAUGUUUCCUGGGAAAUCCGGUCAUUGCAGAGCAUUUAAGUACAGCAAGAAUUUAUAUCACUCCCGACCCAGGAUUAGUAAUAAACAUGAAUACAUAUGUGUUGA
Molecule: long non-coding RNA, 622 nt
Filed under: Rattus norvegicus (Norway rat)
Lineage: Eukaryota; Metazoa; Chordata; Mammalia; Rodentia; Muridae
Description: long non-coding RNA NONRATT013084
Source: RNAcentral